RNAcentral lists this long non-coding RNA (10395 nucleotides) under Vitis vinifera (wine grape). RNAcentral's name for it is "long non-coding RNA (VVIN_LNC005172)". The record is from RNAcentral. Lineage: Eukaryota; Viridiplantae; Streptophyta; Magnoliopsida; Vitales; Vitaceae.
UUGUCUUGGAAAUCAUGUAUGAUAGGCCCCAAUAGUUGAGAGCCUUGAGGAAAUCUACAUCACUCCAUGAACUCUCAUCCUUUAUGUCUCCACCCUUGUCAUUGUACUCAACAGCAGAUGUACUAGAAGUAUACACAACUCGCUUCACCGUCUUUGAAUUCAGACACGCCUUUAAAAUGCCUAAAGUGCCUUCCACCGAUCUUUUGGUCACAGUUUCCUCUGGUUCUGUGUCUUCAAAAUCUAUGGGAUGAGCAACAUGGAAAACUCCGAUACAUCCUUCAAUGGCUGCUUCAAAACUGCUGGGAUCACUCAGAUCUGCGUUGUAGAUUCGGAGCUUUUCCGAUGCUCCCGGAAGGUUUGUCAGGUAGCUAACGUCUUUCUUGCUCUCUGAUCAUGUGGAAAUUUUUGCAAUUUCUAGAGUUAGCUUCUUUGCUAAAAAAGCCCUAAAAAAAACCAGAAUGGCAAAACAUUUCGUACUCCAAAACACGAUUAAUAAUUUUAUUAGUUUCGAAAAACUAAACUUAAAAAAAAUGAGGAAAAAAAAAAAAAAAGAUUAUAAAAUUCAAAAAAUUUGCAUACGAGGGUGAGAUCGAAUGGUAGCAUUAACAGAGUAACCGUGUUGCAGAAGCUUCAUGACGAGCCAUGAGGCUAUGAACCCUGUCCCACCUGUUACACACACUCUGCCUUUCUCGCCUUCCAUUUCUUCUCUCUCUCUUCUCUUUGUUUCUCUGUCUCUGUGUGUCCCCUCUCUUGAUUUCUUUCUCUCCCUUUCUCUAGUAGGUUGCAUAUCAAUCUACAUACUUUGUCCCUCUUGAGUCUUGAUUUCUUUCUCUCGCUUUCUGUGUUAGGUUGCAUGUCAAUUCAGUCCCAUAUAAUCUAUUUAAUAAAAAGGAUGAUAUUCUUAAAUAUACAACUGGGGAGAGCGGGACAAGAGACUACCAUCGAGACUACCAGGCACACCACAACCAACAGGCAAGACAAACGAGACUUGGGAAAGCUGGCAACCCAAUCGGGAGACAGAGUCUCGUUAAAUAAUAGAUUUCUUUCCUCCUAUUCCUUUUUUUCUAGCAAGAUGACAUCAUUACUUACAUGCUCCUGAGAUUAAAUUAAAGAGUAUCGGGUCAAAAUGGGUCAUUUAUUAAAAAAAAAAAAAAAAAAACAACCAAUUUUUCAAAGUUACGAUCAAAUUCGUCUCUUUGUAUUCAAAUUCAUCUCUUUGUCAUAGGCAUCAUGUCAUUAAAUUAUUUUUUUUUUCAUCAUUUUAGUUAAAAUAUCAAUUGAUAGCUGAAACUUCAUUUUUAAACUAAAACCGUAAUUGAUAAUAAGACUUCAUUUUUUAACUAAAGCCUCAAUUGAUAACUGAGACUUUAGUUAAUUAUUUUUUAAAAUUAAAAAUUAUUAAAUUAUAAUUUAUUAUUGAAAAUUUAAAAAUAUAUUUAAAUAAUAAUUAUUUAUAUUUAAACUUAAGAAUCUAGUAUUAUUUUAACAAACAUAAAUUGAUAAAUAAAAAAAAUUAUAACUGAAUAUUUUAUUUAUUAAUAAUCUUAAAAUAAUAAAUUUAUAUAACAUAUAAAUAAUUUAUAAAAUAAAAAUGAAGUGAUUUUAAGUAAAAUGAUGAUUUUUUUUUUUUUUUAAUGAUAUGGCGCCUACGUGACACCAAAAAUGCUAAUUUAAACACAAGUUUCAAAAAGGCUAAUUUAAACACAAGUUUCAAAAAGUGGUUGGAUGUUAUGUUUUUUUUUAAUAAAUGGGUCAUUUUGAACCAAUGCUCCAAAUUAAAUUUAAACCUAUGAGCCCAUCCCGAACACUUCAUACGAAAAUGGAUUAACUCAUUGAAAGACUUGCAAGAAUGUUGAACAUUUUGCCUUCUCAGAUCAUCAGCAGCAGACAAGCAAUUAAUACUGAAAAAUGACUGAAAAUGAAUUAAUUUACUCGGUUGUGGGAUUACCUUUUUACUUUUAUUUAUUCUAAUUACCUUUACGAUCUCUUUUGCUAUCCUACCACCUCCACUAUUAAUCGAUCUUGUUUACUUUAAUUAUAAUUUAUGAAUAUAAAUAUGCUAAUUUUAUAAUUUAAAAUAAGUUUUAAAUUAACUUUAUUAAACAGCCUUAACGUCAAUUAAAAUUUUAAUUUUGUUAGAUUUCAGUUUUGAACAAAAAAAAUCUAUCAAUUUACUGUAACAUAGCCUUAGAAGCAUUUAUCAUCAAGGCAAUGAUCCAAUAGUAAGAGGGGAUCUGAACUAUCAGGUACAUGCCAUGUACUGCUUGUUUCUAAUUUUGAAAAAAUAGGGGUAAACAAAAGCAAAACACCAAACAUGUUCUCUCCAAAACAAUAAAGCUAGGCUCAAAAAGCAUUAAGAGAAUCAUAAAUCAGAAGAUUUGCAGCAUCAACAUACUUUCCUAGUUGAUUUUGAAUCCCCUGUUUUAGUUGGUCCCAGCAUUUCGUGUAGUAAACCUGAAGUAUGAAUCCACCAAUAGUAUAUGAGCAAAGAGGAAGAAAAAAACCAAAAUUAAUAUGUCAAAUUCAACAUCUACUGAUCAAACAAAUGUUCAAUGAGUUCUUAAAAUGAGUUUUCUAUCAUCCCACCAUCAAUACCUUAUCCAACUUCUUGAGUUGGUUGCACAGGCUCUUUUCUCUAAUAUAUGUUUAUCAUACAUUUUCCAAGUGAUCAAUCUUCAAAUAUUUUACUACAACACAAAAGAAGGGUGGGAAGUUUGACCAACAACCUUUUGAACCUUCACCUCAUCUUUUCAAAGCACUGAAGCAGCAUAAUCCGCUUCAUUGGGAUUUCACUAAAUUUUCAGCAGUUUAAUCUUCUUAGUCAAAUCUCUGUUUUGCCCACUGUUGAGCUAGUCCCUAGCACUAUACUGUAAUGCAAUCAUUCUAAAAUUAUGAACUUGUGGCAUGCAGUAUCCACAUAAGUGCCAUCUCCAGAUCCCUACUCCCUACCAUCUUGAAAUCCAAUAACGUUCCAUUGUUUCAAUUGAUUGGCAACUUAAAGCAAAAUGACCACCAAUAGUAAACACAAAUCAUUUUUCAAAAGCAUAUGAUUCGAUGUGUGGGACCUUCUCCACUCAAGGUUCAGAAUUUCUCUGGGAAAAUAAAAGCAAUGAAACUUACAAUUUUAAGAAGAAACCAAAUUUCGGCGGUAUUAAGUUGCUAAAUGGCGUUUCUUUCUUGAAAAUCAAGAAAAAAAAAAUCCAAAUUUCAGGUAGGUCAAAAAAACUUUAAGUCAACAUUCAGUACACCAACGCCGUUUCCCGUUACUGGAAACGCACAAAUUUUUCUCAGGAUUUUCAAUAACCCCCUACUCUCAAAAACAUUCUUCCACGCACAGAUUUCGAAAAUGCCAUAUGUGUUGAUGUCUCACGUCUUUGAGGAUCCACGUAGUUGACAGAUGGAUGGACGCGUGAUCUCAACCCAUAAAGGUUCUUGAUCCAGCCGUUAUACCUGCAAGAAGGCAUCCGGACAGGGUGUCCGGACGCACCCUCCGAUGGUUUUGUUAGCCAUGGUGAGAGAGAGGAAUAUAAAUCAGUUGGCCUUUUACCAGGUAUUAAAAAGUUACCAGGAGGAUCCCCCUCUUCUUCGUGCGAAUGCAUAUAUAUACAGCUUCAGGGUACUGUUCCUUUCAUUAAUGGUGAGGAAAUAUUUUAUGAUGGGAUGUGGGCCAUAGCUGGCUGUCGUGAUAGCGUGUAAGACUUGCUUUACUUUGAUUGAUGAUCCGGACGAUUAUAUCCGGGUGGCACAUGCUUAUUGCCCGGAUGUAUUGUGGGGCGAAUCCAUUAUGAAGGUUGUCCGGAUGUCUGUGCUUUGCCAGCGACGUUUGCUCUCCCUUGGAUAUGAGAAGUUGAAACGUCUUUUGCCUUUCCUUGAGGUGAUCCGGAUAGGAGAACUGCCUCAUGCAUAUCUUUAGGGGAAUCCGGAUGGUGGUGGUUCGGAUGAUGAUGCGUGCCACGUGUCACUGUGAGGUGCGUGCCACGUGUUUUCCAGAGGGAGGGGUCCCUACAAUAUGCCCGCAACCUUUUCAAAAUUUUCACCUCAAAAGCAAAUAAGAAACUCAUUUGUCCACAAAAUAUGAUUUCUAGAAAGAAAAAAAAAAAAAAAAAAAGCUUUUCUUCAUCAUUUCCCUAUCUUUUCGUCCGUUUUCUUAGCAAAGAAGUACAGACAACACAAGUACAACAAACCAAAAUCCAAACAAAAAAAGUCAAAUAAACUUACGAUCGCGGUUGAUUUGACGAAAGUUCUUGUACUCUCCGGCAUUUGACGAAAAAUCAAAGUCCGACAUCGACAUCGCGGAUCCAAAAGAACGAAGAUCAGAGAGCCAAAUGCAGAAGAGAAAAGGCGAGAAAGUUAGAGGGGAGAGUGUCUUCUAGAGAGAGAGUUUUCUGGAGCAAGAAAGGAGGAGAGAUAUGAUCGGAGGAAAGGUCGUUAUGGUUGUGGUGGGAACGUUCUUCUCGAUGAAUAUUUUUAUUUUUUGAAUGUAAAAUAGAACGGGAAUGUCGCAUCCGAAACACCAAAUGCGUCGUCGUUUUGUCUCUUUAAAUGCUUGAAAUUACGGUUCCAUCCUUUCUUGUUUUUAUCUCAUACGGCCCCCAUAUUUUGAAGUGUUCGCCUUUUAACCCUUGAAGGGGCUUCGACCCUGGUGUUGGUGCCAAGACGUGACCACCUCUCAACUCUCACGUUGAUUUAUCUAUUGGAGAUUUUCUACAAAAAUGGGCUACUUGAAGAGACGUGGACAUUUUUUUUGUUUUUUUAGCUUCCAAACUUCUUUAUUUACUUAUUUUUAAUGAAGACACAAUUUUUCCCAAAAUAAUUGCAUUUCAAAUAGGGAUGACAAUGAAAUGGAUUUUUUUAGGUAUCCGCACCUUGCUCCUAAUGAGACAGGGUUCAAUUGUAAUAAACGAGUUUGAGAUUUUUUUUCCCCCAUUUAAUUUUUUAAAUGAGACGGGAUGAGAAUUAUUUUAAAUAAACGGAGCGGGGUUGGAAUGGGGACGACCCGUCCCGAAUCUGUUUCAUUGUCAUUCCUAAUUUCAAAGCAAUUUUUAAUACUUCAAUCAAGUUUUAAAAAAUGUGAUUAAAUUAAAUUUAUAUUAACUACCUCAAAUUAGAACUUAAGUUAAGUUAGAUUUGGAUUGAUUGUUUCUUAAUUAAAUUUAACCCAAUUUAUCUAUUAACUCGAUCCAACCCAUCUAAAUUGUAAUCUUACUUAAAAUGACAACUUCAAUUUUAUUUUAUUUUAAAAAAAAAUGAAUUUAAGUUGGAGUCAUUGUUUCUUAAGUAAUAAUUUGUAUUUUUAAAAGAGGUUGUUACUUGAAGGGAAAAUUUGACUAAAAAUAAAAUAUGAAAUAUUCAACUUUUAUUUUUAAAAAAACUUAAUUUUUAGUUUAAGUGUAAUUUGAAGAAAUAAUUUCAAUGUAAAAGGAAUUAAUAAAUUUUAUAUUAAAAUUGUCUCUUGAAAAAAUAACUUCAAAACACGUAAGUUAAAAACCUUUAACAAGUUCUCAAUAUCGUAAAUGUAACCAAAUAUUCAAAUUAUAUAAUUAUGCUACUUUUGAUCGAGGUUACAAAUGCCUCACAACAACAUUGAACAAAACAUCCAAGCCAUUCAUCACAUGAAUGACCUCAUGUGUGAACAUCCUCCCUAACUAAUGAGAGAGCAUUUGUAGCAUAUGAAGCAUUCUUACCACUAGCUCAUAAAAUGAUAAUGUUUGAGUAAGAAAUAGGCAAGUAAUGUAACAAUAUGAAACUAUGUAUGAAUUAUGAUAUUUGAGUGGACUUGAAGCUAUCUCGGCCGUCGAGAUAUUAGUCCAAUCAAAAUCAUGUUGCUUCUUUAAAUCGCACAUUUGUAAGCUAGACUUGAGAUCACAUGGCCAAGGAAUGCCAUAGGAACCUCGAACUAUAUCACUCAACUAUGUGUAUAUGUAUUAAUUAAGGGUGAGAUAGGGCUCAAGCCCAAAUACAAUUAAAAUCACACUAUUAUCAUAUUAUUAUAUAAUUUUUAAUAUUAUACUUUGUAUUUUAUUGAAAUAUUAAACAAAAUAUUACCAUCACUACCAAACAAACUCCAACUAGCAAUGCAAAACACACCUCAAAUGUAACGUUCAAACUGGCAGUUCUAUUUAUUAAGAGCUUAUGCCAAACAAGGACUAGAGAAACCCCUUCUCUUUGCAGCAUUGAAUUGCUUCAUCAAACAUCUCAUCCAGCCCAUACUUAUACUUGAAACCAGUAUCCAAUAGCUUCUUUGACGAGACGCCAGGUGUUCCAUACCCUUGAACCUCCUUCAAAGAACUGCAAAACAAAAAAACAAAAAAGCAAUUGAAUAUUUUUGUCUUUUCAGAUCAACAGAUAUGAAGCCAAAAAACAUGGAGCAAUUGUUAAGAAAGGAUUAAAAUGGAACAGAACUCACUCUAUAGUGGGUAUUGGAAGUUGUGGGUACUUGGCAGAAAGAAACUCAGACAUCUCAUUCAGUGUCAGUCUGUCUGAUGAACAAAUAUAUCUGCCUUUUGCAUCUGGGCAUUCCAGAAGAAAGAUGUGUGCACUGCAUACAUCAUCCACGUGCACCAUUGAUAUGUUCAUAAGAACAUGAUACUGUUGCUGGUCACCUGUAUAUGUCAAGAAAAUUAUGAAAAAGGUAUUUUCAGAAGAAAGUGCCAAUAUAUAUCACAUGAUUCAAUUAGAACAUGUGUGUCUUCACAAAGUGAAGCAACAUACCUAAGACCAGAGCCAGUGCGGUGUUCACCGAUCCAGGGAACCGGGGACAAAUGAAGGGGCCCACAACAAAAGAAGGAGUCACAGUCACCAGAUCCAAUCCAUGCUCUUGUGCAAAAUCAAGCGCUGACCUUUCGGUUAUUGUCUUGGAAAUCAUGUAUGAUUGGCCCCAGUAGUUGAGAGCCUUGAGGAAAUCUACAUCAGUCCAUGAACUCUCAUCCUUUAUGUCUCCACCCUUGUCAUUGAGCACAACAGCAGCUGUACUGGAAGUAUACACAACUCGCUUCACCGUCUUUGAAUUCAGGCACGCCUUUAAAAUGCCUAAAGUGCCUUCCACCGAUCUUUUGGUCACAGUUUCCUCUGGUUCUGUGUCCUCAAAAUCUACGGGAUGAGCAACAUGGAAAACCCCGAUACAUCCUUCAAUGGCUGCUUCAAAACUGCUGGGAUCACUCAGAUCUGCGUUGUAGAUUCGGAGCUUUUCCGAUGCUCCCGGAAGGUUUGUCAGGUAGCUAACGUCUUUCUUGCUCUCUGAUCAUAUUGAAAUUUUUGCAAUUUCUAGAGUUAGCUUCUUUGCUAAAAAAACCCAGAAUGACAAAACAUUUCGUACUCCAAAACACGAUUAAUAAUUUUAUUAGUUUCGAAAAACGAAACUUAAAAAAAAAAAAAAAAAAGAUAUAAAUUUCAAAAAAUUUGCAUACGAGGGUGAGAUCGAAUGGUAGCAUUAACAGAGUAACCGUGUUGCAGAAGCUUCAUGACGAGCCAUGAGGCUAUGAACCCUGUCCCACCUGUUACACACACUCUCCCUUUCUCGCCUUCCAUUUCUUCUCUCUCUCUCUUUCUUCUCUUUGUUUCUCUGUCUCUCUGUCUCUCUGUUUCCCCUCUCUUGAUUUCUUUCUCUCCCUUUCUCUAGUAGGUUGCAUAUCAAUCUACAAACUUUGUCUCUCUUGAGUUUUGAUUUCUUUCUCUCCCUUUCUGUGUUAGGUUGCAUGUCAAUUUACAAACUAUGAAUACAGUCCAUAUAAUCUAUUUAAUAAAAAAAGGAUCAUAUUCUUAAAUAUACAACUGGGGAGCAGAUUCCCCGUUGACAGUGGGACAAGAGACGACCAUCUCGAGGCACACCACAACCAACAGGCAAGACUCACGAGACUUGGGAAAGGCAACCCAAUCGGGAGACAGAGUCUCGUUAAAUAAUAGAUUUCUUUCCUCCUAUUCCUUUUUUUCUAGCAAGAUGGCAUCAUUACUUGACAUGCUCCUGUGAUCAAAUCAAAUCUAAACCCAAGAACCCAUCCCGAACACUUCAUAUGAAAAUGGAUUAACUCACUUAAAGACCUGCAAGAAUGUUGAACAUUUUGCCUUCUCAGAUCAUCAGCAGCAGACAUGGUGAAACCAAUUAAAUGAAGCAAUUAAUACUGAAAAAUGACUGAAAAUGGAUUAAUUCACCUGGUUGUAGGGAUUAUUUUUUAUUUUAAUUACUUUUACGAUAUCUUUUACUACCCUACGCCACUAUUAUUAGAUCUUCUUUACUUUAAUUAUAAUUUAUGAAUAUAUAUAUAUAUAUAUAUAUAUAUAUAUAUAUAUAUACCAAUUUUAUAAUUUAGAAUAAGUUUUAAAUUAACUUUAUUUAACAAUCUUAACAUUUAAAGUAAAAAUAAAAUAAUAAGUUUUAAGUUAAUAACUUAAAUAUAACUUAUCUUAAAGUUAAGUCAUUAAAUUAUAAGUAUUAUGUUUUACCAAACAUCUCCUAACUAAAGAAAUGAUAAAAAAUCAUAAUUCUAAAGCCAUAAAGUAGCUUCCUUUUACCCAAACUCAGUAAAAAAAAGAAGGCAAAACACGUAUUAAAAUAUUCAUAAAAAUCUAUUAAAGAAGAAGACUUGGACUAUGUUUAAUUCCCGAAAAGUAUUAAGAAAAGUAAAAAAUAAAAUAAAAUAAAUGAUUUUUUAUGUUUGAUUCCACUAUAAGAAAGAUGAAAAAAAAAUCAAAUAUAAUUAAAAUUAUUUAGAAACUUAUGUAUUUAAAGAUGAUUUAACAUUUGUAUAAUAAAAGAAAACAAGUGAAAGGAAUUUAAAAAAAUAAAUAAUUUAUUAACUUUGAAUCCAUUUUUCUUUUUCGUUUCAUUUUUUUCUCUAUUUUUUUUCCCUUAUAUUUUCCUUUAAAUUUUUCUAUAACCAAACAUCACCUUAUGAAUACCUCAACCCCUUGUGAAACAGGGGAUAAGUUUGAGCUUUGAUUUAUCUCUCUUAUGUAUUCCUUUUGACAUAUUUUUUAAUAAAGAGAUUUAUUCAAUUCAUAGAAAAUUAUAGUCUUGGAUAUAUAUAUAUGAAGAAUCUCCUUGUUACAAGGUAACCAAAAUCCAAAUUGAACACAAAGUGCAGGAAUUAUUCAUUGAGUGAACCGACAAACAUCUUGAAUAUCGCUUGACUUGACCUCCUAUUGAUGGGUAUAGAUCAUUCAAUAUCUAUAAAAUAAAUAUUACAUAUGAAAGUGAUUUAAAAAUAUAAAAAAAUAUGUUAAAAAUAUAAAGAAUAAUUUUAAAAAAUAAUUAUUAAAAUUAUCUUGAAAUGGUUUCAACAAAUCAUCCCUCCAUGUACUUAUCGCCUACUGGUUUCACAAUCUCAUGUACUUAUCUUGAAAUGGUUUCAACAAAUCAUCAUCACAAUAGCAAAUUGGAAAAUAAGUGGCUUUCACAAUCAUAUUAAACAAUAACAAAACAUAAGUCAUCAGUCAUCAGAGACCAUGAAAUACAAGCAAACUUGCUAAAAGUGAAGAGCUAGUGCCCAAACAUAAACUAAAGAAAGCCCUUUUCUUUGCAGCAUUGAACUGCUCCAUCAAACAUUUCAUCCAGCCCAUGCUUGAAUACAAAACCCGUAUCCAAAAGCUUCUUUGAUGAGAGGCCAGGUGUUCUGUAACCUUGAAUCCCACUUAAAGACCUGCAAAAGUGUUGAACAUUUUGCCCUUUCAGAUCAUCAACAGCAGAAAUGAAACCAAACAAAAUGAAGUAAUUAAUACUGAAAAAGGACUGAAAAUGGAUCAACUCACUCGGUUGUGGGGAUUGGAAGUUGUGGGUACUUGGCAGAGAGAAACUCAGACAUCUCAUUAAUCGUUAUUGUAUUUGAUGAACAAUUGUAUCUGCCUUUUGCAUUGGGGUAGUGAAGAAGAAAGAUAUGGGCACUGGCUACAUCAUCUACAUGCACCAUUGAUGUGUUCAUAAGAUUCUGGUACUGAUCCUGAAUACCUACACAGAUAUGUUAAAACAUUAGUUUUGGUUGAAGGAAAUACUGGAAAAUACUCUAAUGGAAUGACCUAGUCCUUCAAAAUGUACCCUUGAUCAUAGUAAGUGCCAUCUGCACUGAUCCAGGAAGAAAUGGACAAAGGAAGGGACCAACAACAAAGGAAGGAAGCAAAGUCACAAGAUCCAGGCCAUGUUUUUCUGCAAAUUCAAGAGCUGCCCUUUCAGUUUCUGUCUUGGAAAUCAUGUAUGGCCCUGCAAAAGACCCUAGAGACCUGAUGAACUCCACAUCACUCCAUGAACUCUCAUCCUUCAUGUCUUCAUCCUUGUCAUUGAACACAACAGCAGAUGCACUAGAGGUGUAGACAACCCUCUUUACUGUCUUUGAAUUCAGGCAUGCCUUUAAAAUGGCUAGUGUUCCUUCCACUGAUCUUCUGGUCACAGUUUCCUCUGGUUCUCUG